Melanotaenia boesemani (Boeseman's rainbowfish) is the source of this 678-nucleotide long non-coding RNA. RefSeq lists it as uncharacterized. The transcript is spliced from 3 exons. The record is from RefSeq and is a predicted model, not a curated record. Lineage: Eukaryota; Metazoa; Chordata; Actinopteri; Atheriniformes; Melanotaeniidae.
AUUGCUCUAUACAAAUAAUUUUACUGAUCUUUUGUUGUAGGACAAGGCAGCGGAGGCUGCUGCUGAACGUUCAGAAAAAAAUGAAGCGCUUGUCAAGUUCAUUGUGGAACAAAAGGGUGCAGAAGAUACACUGCAGGUACGCCUUUUUCUUUUUGUUCAUCACAUAACGCUUAAUCAUUAUGUGAUCACUAUGACCAUGCCACCUCCAGCAAGCAAACAGUACGGUUAAGUUUGAGUACAUUUAUUUUUCAGGCCGUCGUGUCUGGAGAGAAGCAGCCCCACUUUGAAUUUACACAAAAGUGGGUUCCAGUAUUGUUUGAUGACCAACAGUUGGACAGGAUAGUUAAGUACCUGACAGGCUUCCUUCAUAACUGUGAAAAAAUCUCAGAUGAAGUCUCCACCAUGCUGUCCUAUGACAAGCUUAAAUACAUCCUUGUUGUGAUGUUGCCAGAGGUGACAGUAAAGGCCUUGGAAGAAAUAAGGAACAUGACAACAAAAGACGCAGUGGCAGAGGUUGAUCAUGGACCACUGGAUGAGAGUGAAAUGGAGGCCAUGGAGAUGGCAAUAAGGAAUGACAUGGAGAGGCGUGGGCUUGUGUAAAAACGAUCCAAUAAAGGUUUCUUGAAUCAGAUUCACCUGUGUUUUUCAGAUUCUGUAGACUCUGUAGAAUAAUCUAGG